GACGAACGCUGGCGGCGUGCCUAACACAUGCAAGUCGAACGGACAGGCCCUGCUUUUGUGGGGUGCUCGAGUGGCGAACGGGUGAGUAACACGCGUGUAACCCGUCCUUGACUUUGGGAUAACUUUAGGAAACUGGGGCUCAUAUCGGAUAGGAGCUCCUGCUGCACGGUGGGGGUUGGAAAGAUUCGGCGGUUGGGGCUGGAUUCGCAGCAUAUCAGCUAGCUGGUGGGGUAGUGGCUUACCAAGCCUUUGAGGGGUAGCCGGCCUGGGAGGGUGAACGGCCACAUUGGGACUGAGGGACGGAGCAGAAGGGUACGGGAGGCAGUGGGCGAGAAUAUGGCGCAGUGAGCGGGAGCGAGAGACGAAAACGUCGCGAGCGGGAUGACGGCUUUCGAGUUAUAAACCGCUUUCGAAGGAACCGUGGCGGGAGUGACGGUAAUGAGUAAGGAAGCACCGGCUAACUACGUG
Molecule: ribosomal RNA, 468 nt
Filed under: uncultured bacterium
Lineage: Bacteria
Description: partial 16S ribosomal RNA
Rfam family: Bacterial small subunit ribosomal RNA
Source: RNAcentral